This 783-nucleotide ribosomal RNA is filed under the name uncultured bacterium. RNAcentral's name for it is "bacterial SSU rRNA". It matches the Rfam family "Bacterial small subunit ribosomal RNA", at positions 8 to 796 of the family's 1533-position model. The record is from RNAcentral.
AGAGUUUGAUCCUGGCUCAGAACGAACGCUGGCGGCGUGCUUAACACAUGCAAGUCGAACGGUAAGGCCCUUCGGGGUACACGAGUGGCGAACGGGUGAGUAACACGUGGGUAAUCUGCCCUGCACAUCGGGAUAAGCCUGGGAAACUGGGUCUAAUACCGAAUAGGACCACAGAACACAUGUUCUGUGGUGGAAAGCUUUUGCGGUGUGGGAUGGGCCCGCGGCCUAUCAGCUUGUUGGUGGGGUGAUGGCCUACCAAGGCGACGACGGGUAGCCGGCCUGAGAGGGUGUCCGGCCACACUGGGACUGAGAUACGGCCCAGACUCCUACGGGAGGCAGCAGUGGGGAAUAUUGCACAAUGGGCGAAAGCCUGAUGCAGCGACGCCGCGUGGGGGAUGACGGCCUUCGGGUUGUAAACCUCUUUCACCAUCGACGAAGGUCCGGGAUUCCUCGGAUUGACGGUAGGUGGAGAAGAAGCACCGGCCAACUACGUGCCAGCAGCCGCGGUAAUACGUAGGGUGCGAGCGUUGUCCGGAAUUACUGGGCGUAAAGAGCUCGUAGGUGGUUUGUCGCGUUGUUCGUGAAAUCUCACGGCUUAACUGUGAGCGUGCGGGCGAUACGGGCAGACUUGAGUACUGCAGGGGAGACUGGAAUUCCUGGUGUAGCGGUGGAAUGCGCAGAUAUCAGGAGGAACACCGGUGGCGAAGGCGGGUCUCUGGGCAGUAACUGACGCUGAGGAGCGAAAGCGUGGGGAGCGAACAGGAUUAGAUACCCUGGUAGUCC